This 517-nucleotide ribosomal RNA is filed under the name Gladiobela stupa. RNAcentral's name for it is "partial large subunit ribosomal RNA". It matches the Rfam family "Bacterial large subunit ribosomal RNA", at positions 1809 to 2605 of the family's 2925-position model. The record is from RNAcentral. Lineage: Eukaryota; Metazoa; Mollusca; Gastropoda; Neogastropoda; Raphitomidae.
CAAAACAUGGCUUCACGGAUUUAAUUUAUGUGAAGUCGUACCUGCCCAGUGAAGUUUUAACGGCCGCGGUACUCUGACCGUGCAAAGGUAGCAUAAUAAUUUGCCUUAUAAUUGAAGGCUGGAAUGAAUGGUUUGUCAAGGAUAAAACUGUCUCUAUGAAAUUUUAUAGAAUUUUAUUUUUAGGUGAAAAAGCCUAAAUUUUAUUAAAAGACAAGAAGACCCUAUCGAGCUUUAAAGAACUUAAUAAAUAUUUACGACUAAUCUGAAGUUAAGUUAUUAAAAAUUUUGGUUGGGGCAACCUAGGAGCAAACAAAGCCUCCUUUUUUAAAAAGACUAUUUUGUUAGGAUCCAAAAGUUUUGAUCAAAAGAAAUAGUUACCGUAGGGAUAACAGCAUUAUUUUUUUUAAGAGCUCUUAUCGAAAAAAAAGUUUGUGACCUCGAUGUUGGACCAGAAUAUCCUGAAGAUGUAGAAGUCUUCAAGGGUUGGUCUGUUCGACCAUUAAAAUUCUACGUGAUC